This 509-nucleotide ribosomal RNA is filed under the name uncultured bacterium. Its description in RNAcentral is "bacterial SSU rRNA". It matches the Rfam family "Bacterial small subunit ribosomal RNA", at positions 348 to 866 of the family's 1533-position model. The record is from RNAcentral.
GCAGCAGUUAGGAAUCUUCCGCAAUGGACGGAAGUCUGACGGAGCGACGCCGCUUGGAGGAGGAAGCCCUUCGGGGUGUAAACUCCUGAACUGGGGACGAAAGCCCCGUGUAGGGGGAUGACGGUACCCAGGUAAUAGCGCCGGCCAACUCCGUGCCAGCAGCCGCGGUAAUACGGAGGGCGCGAGCGUUACCCGGAUUUACUGGGCGUAAAGGGCGUGUAGGCGGCCUGGGGCGUCCCAUGUGAAAGGCCACGGCUCAACCGUGGAGGAGCGUGGGAUACGCUCAGGCUAGAGGGUGGGAGAGGGUGGUGGAAUUCCCGGAGUAGCGGUGAAAUGCGCAGAUACCGGGAGGAACGCCGAUGGCGAAGGCAGCCACCUGGUCCACUUCUGACGCUGAGGCGCGAAAGCGUGGGGAGCAAACCGGAUUAGAUACCCGGGUAGUCCACGCCCUAAACGAUGCGCGCUAGGUCUUUGGGGUUUACCUGGGGGCCGAAGCCAACGCGUAAGCG